RNAcentral lists this ribosomal RNA (442 nucleotides) under bacterium AET27E. RNAcentral describes it as "bacterial SSU rRNA". It matches the Rfam family "Bacterial small subunit ribosomal RNA", at positions 74 to 529 of the family's 1533-position model. The record is from RNAcentral.
CCCAGCUUGCUGGGGGAUUAGUGGCGAACGGGUGAGUAACACGUGAGUAACCUGCCCUUAACUCUGGGAUAAGCCUGGGAAACUGGGUCUAAUACCGGAUAUGACUCCUCAUCGCAUGGUGGGGGGUGGAAAGCUUUAUUGUGGUUUUGGAUGGACUCGCGGCCUAUCAGCUUGUUGGUGAGGUAAUGGCUCACCAAGGCGACGACGGGUAGCCGGCCUGAGAGGGUGACCGGCCACACUGGGACUGAGACACGGCCCAGACUCCUACGGGAGGCAGCAGUGGGGAAUAUUGCACAAUGGGCGAAAGCCUGAUGCAGCGACGCCGCGUGAGGGAUGACGGCCUUCGGGUUGUAAACCUCUUUCAGUAGGGAAGAAGCGAAAGUGACGGUACCUGCAGAAGAAGCGCCGGCUAACUACGUGCCAGCAGCCGCGGUAAUACGGA